UUUGGUGCGGCCAACCGAACAUAGGGCUGUCUCUUCACUCUCCCACCCGUCAUUGAACAUGUCGUGGUCGGGAUGCUUCCGAUCGGUUGCCUGUGCGGUUCUACCCUCUUGUGGGUAGCGAACUCGUCCCUUGAUGGAUAUAUGCUUGCCCUUGUGACAUUUUUGUGUCGUUUGGGCAGCCGAAAUGUUGGCGAUAUCCUUGUGUUGGCGCGUGGUUGAAUGMUGUGUUGCUAUCACUUGGAUUUUUGCCGGCUCUCACGGAUGCGGUGCCUAGCGCUAGCUCUGCGGGACUUUGCCCCGCAGACUUCGGGAGGUCCCUUGUACGAAUCAUUGCUCUUAUACGCCGUCUUGUCGUGCCGCUACCGUGGCACGCAGAUCGUGUUCUUUCGUGCAGUCGUUGACAGCACGAAAGCGAACAUUAGUGUCCGGAGCGUGGUCUUGUGCACGUGGAAUGCCUCUCCGAUCGUAUGAGUAGCGAU
This 479-nucleotide unclassified non-coding RNA is filed under the name Carex x thermalis. Its description in RNAcentral is "Carex sp. KN-2020A partial miscellaneous RNA". The record is from RNAcentral. Lineage: Eukaryota; Viridiplantae; Streptophyta; Magnoliopsida; Poales; Cyperaceae.